Molecule: ribosomal RNA, 1554 nt
Filed under: Salmonella enterica subsp. enterica serovar Derby
Lineage: Bacteria; Pseudomonadati; Pseudomonadota; Gammaproteobacteria; Enterobacterales; Enterobacteriaceae
Also listed under: 10 other names
Description: bacterial SSU rRNA
Rfam family: Bacterial small subunit ribosomal RNA
Source: RNAcentral
AAAUUGAAGAGUUUGAUCAUGGCUCAGAUUGAACGCUGGCGGCAGGCCUAACACAUGCAAGUCGAACGGUAACAGGAAGCAGCUUGCUGCUUUGCUGACGAGUGGCGGACGGGUGAGUAAUGUCUGGGAAACUGCCUGAUGGAGGGGGAUAACUACUGGAAACGGUGGCUAAUACCGCAUAACGUCGCAAGACCAAAGAGGGGGACCUUCGGGCCUCUUGCCAUCAGAUGUGCCCAGAUGGGAUUAGCUUGUUGGUGAGGUAACGGCUCACCAAGGCGACGAUCCCUAGCUGGUCUGAGAGGAUGACCAGCCACACUGGAACUGAGACACGGUCCAGACUCCUACGGGAGGCAGCAGUGGGGAAUAUUGCACAAUGGGCGCAAGCCUGAUGCAGCCAUGCCGCGUGUAUGAAGAAGGCCUUCGGGUUGUAAAGUACUUUCAGCGGGGAGGAAGGUGUUGUGGUUAAUAACCGCAGCAAUUGACGUUACCCGCAGAAGAAGCACCGGCUAACUCCGUGCCAGCAGCCGCGGUAAUACGGAGGGUGCAAGCGUUAAUCGGAAUUACUGGGCGUAAAGCGCACGCAGGCGGUCUGUCAAGUCGGAUGUGAAAUCCCCGGGCUCAACCUGGGAACUGCAUUCGAAACUGGCAGGCUUGAGUCUUGUAGAGGGGGGUAGAAUUCCAGGUGUAGCGGUGAAAUGCGUAGAGAUCUGGAGGAAUACCGGUGGCGAAGGCGGCCCCCUGGACAAAGACUGACGCUCAGGUGCGAAAGCGUGGGGAGCAAACAGGAUUAGAUACCCUGGUAGUCCACGCCGUAAACGAUGUCUACUUGGAGGUUGUGCCCUUGAGGCGUGGCUUCCGGAGCUAACGCGUUAAGUAGACCGCCUGGGGAGUACGGCCGCAAGGUUAAAACUCAAAUGAAUUGACGGGGGCCCGCACAAGCGGUGGAGCAUGUGGUUUAAUUCGAUGCAACGCGAAGAACCUUACCUGGUCUUGACAUCCACGGAAGUUUUCAGAGAUGAGAAUGUGCCUUCGGGAACCGUGAGACAGGUGCUGCAUGGCUGUCGUCAGCUCGUGUUGUGAAAUGUUGGGUUAAGUCCCGCAACGAGCGCAACCCUUAUCCUUUGUUGCCAGCGAUUAGGUCGGGAACUCAAAGGAGACUGCCAGUGAUAAACUGGAGGAAGGUGGGGAUGACGUCAAGUCAUCAUGGCCCUUACGACCAGGGCUACACACGUGCUACAAUGGCGCAUACAAAGAGAAGCGACCUCGCGAGAGCAAGCGGACCUCAUAAAGUGCGUCGUAGUCCGGAUUGGAGUCUGCAACUCGACUCCAUGAAGUCGGAAUCGCUAGUAAUCGUGGAUCAGAAUGCCACGGUGAAUACGUUCCCGGGCCUUGUACACACCGCCCGUCACACCAUGGGAGUGGGUUGCAAAAGAAGUAGGUAGCUUAACCUUCGGGAGGGCGCUUACCACUUUGUGAUUCAUGACUGGGGUGAAGUCGUAACAAGGUAACCGUAGGGGAACCUGCGGUUGGAUCACCUCCUUACCUUAAAGAAGC